Molecule: RNA transcript, 5647 nt
Organism: Microtus ochrogaster (prairie vole)
Lineage: Eukaryota; Metazoa; Chordata; Mammalia; Rodentia; Cricetidae
Gene: Fubp1
Gene name: far upstream element binding protein 1
Exons: 22
Source: RefSeq, a predicted model, not a curated record
UUUACGGCACGAUGGUCGCACAAGAAUGUGAUAGAGCGUCUACGGCCGCCAUUUUCUUCCUUUCUUAGCGGUUAGCCGAGCGGGGAGCCUCCGCGAGGAAGCGGCAGCGGCGGCUGUAUAGUGGGCAUGGCCGACUACUCAACGGUGCCUCCGCCCUCGUCUGGCUCAGCCGGCGGCGGCGGCGGAGGAGGCGUUAACGAUGCUUUCAAAGAUGCCCUGCAGAGAGCCCGGCAGAUUGCAGCAAAAAUUGGGGGUGAUGCUGGUACAUCAUUGAAUUCAAAUGACUAUGGUUAUGGGGGACAAAAGAGACCCCUAGAAGAUGGAGAUGGCUCUUGGACAAAUCCGAGCAGUACAACACACUGGGAGGGAAUGCCCUCUCCUUUUAAAGAUCAACCAGAUGCAAAGAAAGUUGCUCCCCAAAAUGACUCUUUUGGAGCACAGUUACCUCCGAUGCAUCAGCAGCAAAGCAGAUCUGUAAUGACAGAAGAAUACAAAGUUCCAGAUGGAAUGGUUGGAUUUAUAAUUGGCAGAGGAGGAGAACAGAUUUCACGUAUACAGCAGGAAUCUGGAUGCAAAAUACAGAUAGCUCCUGAUAGUGGUGGCCUUCCAGAAAGGUCGUGUAUGCUAACCGGAACACCUGAAUCUGUCCAAUCAGCAAAAAGAUUACUGGACCAGAUUGUUGAAAAGGGAAGACCUGCACCUGGCUUUCAUCAUGGUGAUGGACCUGGAAAUGCAGUUCAGGAAAUCAUGAUUCCAGCCAGCAAGGCAGGACUCGUUAUUGGAAAGGGGGGAGAGACUAUUAAACAGCUUCAGGAACGGGCUGGUGUUAAAAUGGUUAUGAUUCAAGAUGGGCCUCAAAAUACUGGUGCUGAUAAACCUCUUAGGAUUACGGGUGACCCAUACAAAGUUCAGCAAGCCAAGGAGAUGGUCUUAGAAUUAAUUCGUGAUCAAGGUGGUUUCAGAGAAGUGCGGAAUGAGUAUGGCUCAAGAAUAGGAGGAAAUGAAGGGAUAGAUGUCCCAAUUCCAAGAUUUGCUGUUGGCAUCGUAAUAGGAAGAAAUGGAGAAAUGAUCAAAAAAAUACAAAAUGAUGCUGGUGUUCGAAUUCAGUUUAAGCCAGAUGAUGGAACAACACCUGAUAGGAUAGCACAGAUAACAGGACCUCCAGACAGAUGUCAGCAUGCUGCAGAGAUUAUCACAGACCUUCUACGAAGUGUUCAGGCUGGUAAUCCUGGUGGACCUGGACCUGGUGGGCGAGGACGAGGUAGAGGUCAAGGCAACUGGAAUAUGGGACCACCUGGUGGACUACAGGAAUUUAAUUUCAUUGUGCCAACUGGGAAAACUGGAUUGAUAAUUGGAAAAGGAGGCGAAACCAUAAAAAGCAUAAGCCAGCAGUCUGGUGCGAGAAUAGAGCUUCAGAGAAAUCCUCCUCCUAACGCAGAUCCUAAUAUGAAGUUAUUUACAAUUCGUGGCACUCCACAGCAAAUAGACUACGCUCGGCAACUCAUAGAAGAGAAGAUUGGAGGCCCAGUAAAUCCUUUAGGGCCACCUGUACCCCAUGGGCCCCAUGGGGUUCCAGGUCCUCAUGGGCCUCCUGGGCCUCCAGGGCCUGGAACUCCAAUGGGACCAUACAACCCUGCACCUUACAAUCCAGGACCACCUGGUCCAGCUCCUCAUGGUCCUCCAGCCCCAUAUGCUCCCCAGGGAUGGGGAAAUGCAUAUCCACAUUGGCAGCAACAGGCUCCUCCUGACCCAGCUAAGGCAGGAACAGAUCCAAAUUCAGCAGCUUGGGCUGCUUAUUAUGCCCACUAUUACCAACAGCAGGCACAGCCCCCGCCUGCAGCUCCUGCAGGUGCACCAACUACAACCCAAACGAACGGUCAAGGUAACUACGGAGAUCAGCAGAAUCCAGCUCCAGCUGGACAGGUUGAUUAUACAAAGGCUUGGGAAGAGUACUACAAGAAAAUGGGUCAAGCAGUUCCUGCUCCUACUGGGGCCCCACCAGGUGGGCAGCCAGAUUAUAGUGCAGCCUGGGCUGAAUACUAUAGACAACAAGCAGCAUACUAUGCCCAGACAAGUCCCCAAGGAAUGCCGCAGCAUCCUCCAGCACCUCAGGGAUUUGCAAAUCAUGCAAGAAGCCACCAUCAUUUAUAUUAACCAGUUUUUCUUUCUUAAAGGAUUCACUCCUGAAUUAGCUCCAUUUAAAGGAUUUUCUUUAACUUUUUGUGUAUCUCUUAUGUAUCUCUUCUGCACAGGGCCAAUAAUAAGAAGUGGACAAUACAGUAUUUGCUUCAUUGUGUGGGGGAAAAAAACCUUUGUUAAAUAUAUGGAUGCAGACGACUUGAUGAAGAUCUUAAUUUUGUUUUUGGUUUAAAGUAGUGUUUUCCCCCCCUUUUUUUAUUUUGAAAAUGUACAAAAUAUCUAUCACUACUGAUAGGAGGUUAAUAUUUCUGUGUAGAAAUGAAAACUGGUUUGUUUUUAGUCUUUAGUGUAGAUGUACACAUUCCAGCAAAUGUAUUUGCAACUAUUAUGUGGUCAAUGCUUUGUGAUAUAAAUGUACUUUUUCAAUGUAUACUUUCACUUUUAAAAUGCCUGUUUUGUGCUUUACAAUAAAUGAUAUGAAACCUCCUGUGUCGGUAAGUUGGAUAUGUGGGUAAAGGAUUCAUAAUUUCUUAGCAGUGAUAAAUUAAGAUACAUAUACACAACUAUAUAUAAGCUUUCCCCAUGAAUUACUGAGUUUUUAAACACUGGCAUGAUGUUUUUCCCCUUGCAGUAUAGUGGUAGAUUGGAGGAUCUUUUCUGUUGUAUUUGGCUAUUUCAGCACAAGUAAUCCUGAUAUCUUCAUUUUUUUCCUUCUAUUUGAUUUUAAAACUGCAUGUAUAUACAAUGAUCUUUAGUAUACUUCCAUUGCAUUAACAGUGAAAUUUCCUUUUAUAUGUGAGCACUGUUUAUAUAUGAGACCUGUACUGCUGCUACAACAGUUAACCUUUCUGUUUUUCACUUAUUUCCAAGACUGUUUCAGCAUAACUAAUUUUGAACAGUUUUCAGACAGUGAUUUGAGUAGUUUAUAAGAAGCUUUUUGUUUUCCAUGUAAAGCAACUAUUUCAAUGUAUAUAAUAGUGUGUUUCUUUCUAAAUUUAGGGUAGAAAAGUAAAUAGUAUGCAAAAAUAUAGCUACAUUGCAUCUGCCAUUGAAACAUCUGGGGUAUGAAAACGUUCCAGCUUUUUUCAUUUUGCAUUAUAGAUAAGCCGUGUCUUGUAAUUGCACAAGUCCAGUCAUUGAAUCAAAUUAAUUUUUUGUGUACUUGAAUCAUUUUAUUUCUCUUAACAUUCAUACUGAAGUUCUGAUAUUGUUGAAAACCAUUGUUUUAUUCUGCAUAUUUGUUGGCUCUUUGCAUAUUAAUAUAUUAGACUACAUGCAAAUACAGUCUGUCUUGCCAUUGUCUGUUGAAGUGCAGGUUUGAUCCAGCCAGUAUAGGACUAGCUCUGUAGGGGUGAGGAGGACUGUGCUGUGUAUCAUCCUUGAUUGUGUUCCUUCAAGGAGCAUUGCACUGUAAGUACAUCAGAAUGACAAAUUGAUGAACUGCAACAGUGUCUCUUUGUCAAUGUUCCACAUAAUGCAAUUGCUAUAUUUUGUGUGAAUAUUAUGUUGGAAUACAGUGCUGAUAUCAUAGGAAAACAUAAACUGCCUUUUAACAUAGAAUAAUACAUAGUUCUGUAUUUUUUUAAGUGAGCUUAAUGGGUAAGUAUUUUUGAUAUGCUUUAGCUAAUAGCUAAAGAAGAUUGAUCAUUAUCAAAGUUGAAUAGUAUUAUCUAUCGGUGCUCCUAAAAUGCCGAUUUUUCAGUGUAAGAUAUGCAUCUUUAAUAGUGAUAUGAAAAACUUGAAAUGUGUAAGACAGUGUUUUUCAGAUUGCAAAUUAUAAGCAAUGUAGCACUUAGCAUCUUUUCAUAAAUAUGUUUUAUCUGUGGUGAGCACCAUUUGCAUAUGCUUUAAAGGAAGAGGUAUGAGGACAGAAAUGUUGAGGUAAUAGGGCAGAAAACAGUUCAGCUCAUUGUGGAUGUUUUGAAAUGUUUUUGAUUGUUUUAUGUAACUUUGAGUGACUUCCCUUACCCUUAUUUAGAUAUGGAUACAUAGUCUAGUUUGAAGUUUACUGGUUAAGGAGUUAACUAUUAAGUGUAGGGUAUUGACAUGAACAGUUUUCAGUACUGCAUGAUGUUGUUGCAUAGAUGGAUGACCUAGGAAAGUGGUGCAUUUAGUAAUUAAACUGAAGGAAAUAGUUGAAUUCAGUAUCAUUCACAAAUUGGAGGCUGUUGAUUUUGAUUCGUUUAAAGUUUAAAAUCCUUAUUAAUUGCAAACAGUGCAAUUAUUUAUACUUCACAGUGCCUUCCCAGACCUUCCACCUUAGGUUCUGCUGCAAAAAGCAACAGGUAAGCACAACCUAAGGACAUAUAUAUAAAUAUAUCAGUACAUUAAUGUUGUCCCUGUGAGGUUUUGUGGUUGUGUACUCAAAAGCAAUCUGCUGCUUCCCCAAAUGUAUUUUGUUAUUUAUGCUACCAUUCUAGUGGAAAGUCUGUUAAUUUGUUGAAGCAACUGUUUAUAAUUUUGGGUAAUGGUUUUUAUUUUAAUUUUUUCAUUAAAAUAAAAUGAGUAGAUUGCUGGAAAACAUCCAGAUCUUUUUGUACCCAUUUUCCCCAAGUUAUAGAAGUGUUACAGUAAGAACAGUUAAAUAGUUAAGACUUAGAAAAUCUUUUGGUCAGAAAUUUCAACAGCCUUCACAGCCUGUUUGUAUAACUGACAGGACAUUUUCUUUACCCUCCAAGCCUGUGGUUUUAGUUUUGGUUUUAUUUUUUUCCUCCUUUAUUAUUACUGCUUUAAAGUAUAGUGAUUCAGUAAGAACAUUUUGGGUCAGUUUCCUAGACAGUUCUGUUUUCAUGACUUGUAUAUGCUGACAAGGAAGACUAAGGAAUACUGGCAGUAAGUUUUGAAAAAAGGCAUGUGCAUCAGUGAAAUGAUAACUGUGUCAAAUAACUUUCAUAGUCUGCAUAACCAAGUUUCUGGUUUAUAUUUUAAUAACUGACGCUGCAUUUAUUUUUUUUUUGCCAGUUUACAAUGUUUGUGUUCUUAGGAAUGAUGUUUAACUAGUACAUAUUUUGACUUAAGAUGACUGUCUUAAAACAGCACCGUAUCAGUUUUGUUUUUAAUUCAGUUUCUAAAUGUGCUGAUCCUAUUAAAAACUCCUGCUUAUCUUUACAACAAAGAAAAAUAUUCAAAAAUACUGCCUUCAUUUUCACACACAGUGCUGAAGAUGCUGCAAGCACCAAAUCAUAGCUCAUAAUAUCAGGUCCUGAGAUAGUUACCCAUAAAGAGGAAUCCUUUGAGUGUAUGCCAUUGGUGAGCCGAUGAGCAUGGACCAUAGAAGGGCUCAAUGUAGAAGAAACUACCCGUGUGUUAAAAGAAGAUUGGCUUAAAAUGGCUACUGUGAUGGGAACAGUGUCUUAGGGAGAUGCAGCUUGGACUGGAGGUAAAUUGAAUACUUUACAAACUGGUUUAGAAUUUUGCUUUAUUGACAUUGUAUGUAAAGGGCAUUGGAUUGUUAUUUUGUAUUCUUUGUUUUCUUAAUUUAAAACAAUAAAUGUACAGUGAUGACUUA